This is a long non-coding RNA of Cyprinus carpio (common carp), 851 nucleotides long. RefSeq lists it as uncharacterized. The transcript is spliced from 3 exons. Lineage: Eukaryota; Metazoa; Chordata; Actinopteri; Cypriniformes; Cyprinidae. The record is from RefSeq and is a predicted model, not a curated record.
UGUUACAUUUAAAUAAAACAUACAUUUAAAAAGAAUUAGCAGCAUGUUUUCAGACAAACGCUAUUAUUUUUUUCUCGUGCUAAACCACGCCCCUCAGUACGUGACCUUUGCGCAACCUUGCUGUGAGUCAACGUUCACUUUUUAAUGCGGGAGAAACAACUUGAGAAGACGUGUUCAUCAGGCGGCCGAAGAAAAAUCUUAUUGAAAGACAAGGCAGCACGUGGGCGAUAAUAAUCCAGAGGAAUAUUUAUGAUCUACCUUGAGAGCAAACUUCAUGCAGUGUAGAAACUGUAAAUACAAUUGUGCCAGUCAAAAUCUGCUGCUGAGGCACUACAAGCUAAAGCACUGGCGCCCAGGCCGACGUGAACCAUUGUUGUGCCUGUACCCUGAGUGUGUCUGCUCUUUCAGUACACCAGUAAAACCACAAUGUUGUUACGAGUGAUUGUGAAUCCAGAGUGCAUAAAAAAAGCUGACACUCCCCAAAAGUGCCAUCAUCAGUAGAUGAGCUCAAAGAAAUUCUUUGUGACAAACUGAAAAUUGAUCAAAACUUUGUGAUCCAGUAUGAGGACCCCGAUUUUGAUGGUCAGCUCUGCAAUUUAAGUAACAUAGAAGAACUUCCAUCUGAAAAGGUCACACUGAAGAUUAUCUGGGAAACUGCAGCAGUAGCAGAACCCACAAGAAAUGAAAGCACAGGGUCUGAGACUGAUUUUACCCUAGACACAGCAAGCAUCUCAUCCAAUCUGUCCAGUCCAUCUUCUUCCACAGUCAGGGAAGAGCGCUGGCCACGUGUUUUCCUAAUUCCAAAUUUCUCCUAUGAUGUAGAGUUCAGACUGAGAAAAGCUAAUGAAGUC